This 97-nucleotide signal recognition particle RNA is filed under the name Actinomycetota bacterium. RNAcentral's name for it is "Actinobacteria bacterium signal recognition particle sRNA small type". It matches the Rfam family "Bacterial small signal recognition particle RNA". From Rfam's summary of the family: The signal recognition particle (SRP) is a universally conserved ribonucleoprotein involved in the co-translational targeting of proteins to membranes. Archaeal SRP consists of a 7S RNA and homologues of the eukaryotic SRP19 and SRP54 proteins. The record is from RNAcentral. Lineage: Bacteria; Bacillati; Actinomycetota.
CCAGAUCUCCCGCAUGGCGUUAUCGUGCUGAACUCCCCCAGGGCUGGAAGGCAGCAAGGGUAGGUACGCUCUAUCGGGUGUGCGGGGGGUCCUAAUA